GGUGAACCUGCGGAAGGAUCAUUGUCGAGCCCCGAUCGACGCUGCUGCUGGCCGUCUCGACGGUAUUGUGCACGCGUCGACUCGCCUCUCAUUCACCCCUGUGCACCUCUGUAGGCUGGGCGGAAGCCCGGCUCUACGCUUUACACACACGCUCAAACUUUGUGAUUGGAUGGUAUAAUAAUACAACUUUCAACAACGGAUCUCUUGGUUCUCGCAUCGAUGAAGAACGCAGCGAAAUGCGAUAAGUAAUGUGAAUUGCAGAAUCCAGUGAAUCAUCGAAUCUUUGAACGCACCUUGCGCCCUUUGGCAUUCCAAAGGGCAUGCCUGUUUGAGUGUCAUUUUGCAUCGUCGACGGCCCCCUCUUGAGGAGGCGCGGUCGGAAGGGUGGAGGCUGCCGGCCCUGAGGUCGGCUCCUCUCAAACGCAUUAGCGAGGUGCAGACCGGACCCGCUUCGACGUGAUAAGUGUUUAUUCGUCGUAGCGGUUCGAUGUGCUCGCUUCGAACCGUCCCUCCGAGACAACGAGAGAGGCGCCUCGCGCGCGCUCUCUUGACGCUCUGACCUCAAAUCAGGUAG
This 574-nucleotide unclassified non-coding RNA is filed under the name Lichenomphalia oreades. RNAcentral's name for it is "sequence contains 18S rRNA gene, ITS1, 5.8S rRNA gene, ITS2". The stretch from base 185 to 338 matches the Rfam family "5.8S ribosomal RNA". The record is from RNAcentral. Lineage: Eukaryota; Fungi; Basidiomycota; Agaricomycetes; Agaricales; Hygrophoraceae.